UGCCAGCCGCCGCGGUAACACGAACCGGACAAACGUUAUUCGGAAUCAUUGGGCGUAAAGGGCGCGUAGGCGGCCUGUCAAGUCAGUGGUGAAAUCCCUCGGCUCAACCGAGGAACUGCCUCUGAAACUGUCAGGCUUGAGGCCGGGAGAGGGUAGUGGAAUUCCCAGUGUAGCGGUGAAAUGCGUAGAUAUUGGGAGGAACACCAGUGGCGAAGGCGGCUACCUGGACCGGUUCUGACGCUGAGGCGCGAAAGUGUGGGGAGCAAACAGGAUUAGAUA
This 279-nucleotide ribosomal RNA is filed under the name uncultured bacterium. Its description in RNAcentral is "partial 16S ribosomal RNA". It matches the Rfam family "Bacterial small subunit ribosomal RNA", at positions 506 to 784 of the family's 1533-position model. The record is from RNAcentral.